Molecule: long non-coding RNA, 345 nt
Filed under: Drosophila guanche
Lineage: Eukaryota; Metazoa; Arthropoda; Insecta; Diptera; Drosophilidae
Source: RNAcentral
GUUGCCUGGUGUAGUUCCCCAAUAGGAACAGACUAAUACUCGAUUAUGUCUUGCCCGUAAUGAAGUACACUAUGAAUAGUAGCUGUUAAGACCUCUGCUUAGAUAUCGUUCCAAGACGUGCACUGAGACCGGAACAAUUCUGUUUAGAAGGUGGCUACACUUCCUUUCAUGCUUGUUCAUCGAAGACGAUUGAAAAUAACAUUUUGGCAUCUCCCUCUGGCUAAGCUAAUAGCAUCAACCAAAGAUCACCACACCCCAUACCCCACACCACACUCUCUACCCACUUUGUUGGCGGGGGGUAUCUCACUUUAGCAUAAUCCCUGCUUAAUUGCUGCUCGGUUUGAG